UACAGAGGUGGCAAGCGUUGUUCGGAAUUACUGGGCGUAAAGGGCGCGUAGGCGGCCAUCUAAGUCAGACGUGAAAUCCCCCGGCUUAACCUGGGAACUGCGUCUGAUACUGGACGGCUUGAGUAUGGGAGAGGGAUGUAGAAUUCCAGGUGUAGCGGUGAAAUGCGUAGAUAUCUGGAGGAACAUCGGUGGCGAAGGCGGCAUCCUGGACCGGUAUUGACGCUGAGGCGCGAAAGCCAGGGGAGCAAACGGG
Molecule: ribosomal RNA, 253 nt
Filed under: uncultured bacterium
Lineage: Bacteria
Description: partial 16S ribosomal RNA
Rfam family: Bacterial small subunit ribosomal RNA
Source: RNAcentral